Molecule: unclassified non-coding RNA, 917 nt
Filed under: Hevea brasiliensis (rubber tree)
Lineage: Eukaryota; Viridiplantae; Streptophyta; Magnoliopsida; Malpighiales; Euphorbiaceae
Source: RNAcentral
ACCUUGACCACAGCCUCUUUGGUCACUUCUUCCACCUUUGGAGGAAAGGUAUAUUUAUCCAAAUCAACAACAAAUUGACUAACAUUUGGAAGGAAUUUAUUAGCUUCCUCCACCCCUCUCUUGAACUGUAAGAUAGACUCGCGAUCAGUAAACAUGUUUGAAAGAGCAUUAGGAUUUAAAAAAGAGUCCAUAUGGACAUUCAAGUUGUUGAUGUUGUUUAAAGAACCAUGAGACCUCUCUGAGUUAUUCUGCAUCAAAGGUUGGAUGGAGUACUCUGAUGGAUGACUCUCCACAGGCAAAGACAAACUAGAUUCUCCAGGAUCAACAAUCCAGUGAGGAUCCAUGGAAUUACUAUGAGCAUUGCUACUACUUGUACUAUGGUCACUGGAAGUCUGGAAAAUGCUGUCAGGGCUUGGGCUUUCUAACUGAUGGUCAACAUGAUAGGGUGAAGGAGGGUACGACUUGCCAAGGGCUUCAUAUAAGGACUUCUCAGCAGCUUUUAGAGCAAGCGGGUCAUGAAACAUGCUGGGCUUAUCUUCAAUAUUCUCCUCCAUAAGUAUCUGGUUUAAGUACUUAAACAGAAAAUCAGAGUCAUGAUCAUCUGGAGAGUCCACUUCCGAGCUCACGUUUGAUGAUGGGGCGAAAUUACCAAUGUCUACACUUGGGGCCGUAUACGGAACACCAAAAGCAACAUAGUCAUCAUUAUAAUUGUGAGGAGGAUUCAGAGAUCCCUCAUAGCUAGACAAAUUAAUCUGAUCUUCGAACUCGAAAGUGUUUACAGGAUCAGACAACGGAAUGAAUCGAGGAUCCAUAACAGUUUUGUGUAUAAAACAAUCUUAAUGAGUGGAGUGAACAAGAUGACAGCAAAAGUGAAAAAAUGAGAGGCAGGCGCUUUUCUCAGUUUUUUUGAAGAGAAA